GGGGACUGCGCGGCUAUAAUGCAGUCGAGCGCAGGAAGCAAGCAGAUCCCCUUCGGGGGUGACGCUUGUGGAAUGAGCGGCGGACGGGUGAGUAACACGUGGGCAACCUGCCUGUAAGACUGGGAUAACCCCGGGAAACCGGGGCUAAUACCGGAUAAUACUUUUCUUUGCAUAAAGGAAAGUUGAAAGGCGGUUUCGGCUGCCACUUACAGAUGGGCCCGCGGCGCAUUAGCUAGUUGGUGAGGUAACGGCUCACCAAGGCGACGAUGCGUAGCCGACCUGAGAGGGUGAUCGGCCACACUGGGACUGAGACACGGCCCAGACUCCUACGGGAGGCAGCAGUAGGGAAUCUUCCGCAAUGGACGAAAGUCUGACGGAGCAACGCCGCGUGAGUGAUGAAGGUUUUCGGAUCGUAAAACUCUGUUGUUAGGGAAGAACAAGUCGGGUAGUAACUGACCCGGCCUUGACGGUACCUAACCAGAAAGCCCCGGCUAACUACGUGCCAGCAGCCGCGGUAAUACGUAGGGGGCAAGCGUUGUCCGGAAUUAUUGGGCGUAAAGCGCUCGCAGGCGGUCCUUUAAGUCUGAUGUGAAAUCUCGCGGCUCAACCGCGAACGGUCAUUGGAAACUGGAGGACUUGAGUACAGAAGAGGAGAGUGGAAUUCCACGUGUAGCGGUGAAAUGCGUAGAGAUGUGGAGGAACACCAGUGGCGAAGGCGACUCUCUGGUCUGUAACUGACGCUGAGGAGCGAAAGCGUGGGGAGCGAACAGGAUUAGAUACCCUGGUAGUCCACGCCGUAAACGAUGAGUGCUAGGUGUUAGGGGGUUUCCGCCCCUUAGUGCUGAAGUUAACGCAUUAAGCACUCCGCCUGGGGAGUACGGCCGCAAGGCUGAAACUCAAAGAAUUGACGGGGCCCGCACAAGCGGUGGAGCAU
This 934-nucleotide ribosomal RNA is filed under the name Oceanobacillus sp. RNAcentral's name for it is "bacterial SSU rRNA". It matches the Rfam family "Bacterial small subunit ribosomal RNA", at positions 35 to 940 of the family's 1533-position model. The record is from RNAcentral. Lineage: Bacteria; Bacillati; Bacillota; Bacilli; Caryophanales; Bacillaceae.